UGCAAUGGACAUGAACUUGGGCAAACUCUGGGAUCUGGUGAGGAACAGGGAGAACUGGUGUGUUACAGUCCACAAGGUCACAGAGUCAGACACAACUGGGCGACUGAACAAUAGCAACAGUAGUAGCAUCUUAGAUGAUUGUUGUAUUACUCUACCUUUCGUUCUAAAUGUCAGACCUUUGAAAUAUACUAGUUAUAGAUAGAGCAUACAUAAGAUUCAAACUAUUCCCUCUAAAACCCCAGUGCUUCUAUGUGUCAUCUCAGCAGCCAGAUGUUCCCAUAAGGAGAUAAUUAAAACAGUUUUGACUUCAUAUUCUAGAUGUCCUGUCAGACAGAAGACUAAUACAAUAUGUUUGCACUUCUAUAGUUGAUCACCAAUGCAUAAACCAGUUACCAUGUUAUAUAACAAAAAUUUAUUUCAUUAUAUACUCAAAACAAACCUAUAUUAUCUCCAAACCUAGUAUCAGUCUUAUCUUUGAACAAAUUGUGGAUGCAUUCCUGAAUUCCAACUUUUCCAGGUAUUCAUAUAAAAAAGAAAUAAACCCAGUGUACUUUAAAAAAUAGUUUACAAGUCCUUACAUGAAUCUGAUGGCAGCACACAUUCUUAACAAGACAGACCCCUAGAUUAUUCAUUCACAGUAAAAAUGAAUAUUAGAGCAACUCGCUCUUGAGUCAGUGAAUUUAAAAUUCUCAACAGUUCUUUCCUGGAACACCAUUUUGGGGAUAAGAAAGCUUGUUUAUAAGAGAGCUGAAGAAAGGUGCUAUUAUUAUCUCUUGUGUAAUGUCCUCAAAACUACUUAUUUGGAGUCAUUAAAUGUAACUGAUAAAUUCAGGCAAUUUGGAAUGAUUUUAAAAUGUAAACUGCAAUACUCAUUGAAAGGUUAUGAAGUUCUAUUAAAGCAUCAAAGAUAGAUACACUAAAGCUGAGAAAUUGAUUCAUUGUUUUUGGGAAACAUAUGUUGCUUUCCCUUUAGUGGUUCAAAUGAUUUCUGAAAGCCCACUCUUCUAUGACACUGCCCUAUAUAUCUAUAUGUAAAAUUCUUUGACCCAUCUUUGUUUGCAGUCUCGUCCAUUUAAGCUGCUUCACCGUACGGCAUACUUGUUCUUAGGUAACUAUUAGUAAAUGGGUGCAACAUUUCCAAUUACUCCCCACGUUUCCUGCCAAAAACCACAUGGGCACAAAAUCACCAUGGUUAUUUCUUUGAACCAAAGAACAUUUACUUCUUUUUUUUUUUUUUUUUGCCUUUUUUAACCACAAAUAUAUGAUCUCUUCCUAUAUUUAAAUUUUUUGGUAAAUGCUCACAUAAUAUAUAUAAAGUUGAAGGUGAAAGAACAAAAAAACAGACUUACAGUUUGAUAGGAAUUACAGUGCUGAGGAAAGAAACAGGAGUGAUAUGUACACACCAAUCCAAGAAUUAUCUGAUAUGCUAAUUGAAUUGGGGAAAACAAUGAAUAUGCAACAGUGGGAGAGACUAAGUAUAUCUUUUUCAGAUUCUGGAAGACAGUUUUGGAGGCUAUUUUUAUCAGGUCCGAGCUUGGGAAAUGUCUUUAUAGAAGAGGAUGUGAUGAGGGCUUUUGUUAGUUUUGUGGGCAUUUCUCACAUUUCUCAUUGCGCAGCAUCUUUUGAAUACCCUUUCUUGUUUGAGGAACCCCCUACUUUGUGAUCCCCACUUCUCCAGGAAGAGGUCUGCAUUAGAGGCCAGGAACUGUCCUUCUCAGUCUCCUUUGUCACUGGGGUUCAGCCAUAAGCCUUGGGCUCCACCAAGCGAGAGAGAGACCCUGCAUGCCGCAGGGGCAAAGUCGCUAUUUGGGGAUCCUGUGCCCUAUGUAACUGUCACAUGCUGGCAGAGGGUAGAGGCAGGAGUUCACUUGGAGCAUCUGACAGUGGAAUGAGGCAUCUUUCCUGCUACUUGGACACCCAGCCUGAUUCUCUGGACAUUCUGGGGAUUCUGUGAGUUACUGAAUAUCCUUUGCUAUAAAGUUCCCUUUCCACUUAAACUAGCUAAACUGAUUCUGCUGUUCGCAACUAAAAGUCCUGACUGAUACAGGCUACACUCCACUAAGUCAGUAUUUCAACACAGGGCACGACUUGGCAUUUUGAAUUGGACAUCUCUCCUAGCGUGCGAUGGGUAUUUGUGAUGUAAGAAGUUGCCAUUCCUGACCCCCAGGGACUAAAUGUCAGUAGCAGACUCCAGUUACUGUGACAAAUAAACAUCCCCACACAUUUCCAAAUCCCCUCCAGAUGAGGGCAACAUGACCCCUCACUUGGGAAACACCCUAUGUGCUCUCCUAACAGCAUAAAAGAGUUCACAUGCUUCCUCUCAUGCCCAUUCUAUCAAGAGGUAAUUUAGGUCUUAAAAAGGACGUGCUUACUGGGGCUUUGUACACUAUUACAUUCCUGGAUAGAAGCAGAACAAUGAAGCCACCUGUAUGUUUUAAGUGACAUGGAUCGAAACACCUAGUUGCUGCAUGAGAAAAAUGGUGAAAGCGUCAAUUGUGAUGAUAAUGACACCAUUGUUGAAUCACCAUUGUGAUUCUUUGGGCACACUUAGAGAAUGAAAAUAGAUGAUCUCCAAAGUGGAAGCUAUGUGGCAUGAUUAACAUAUUGUUAUAAUAAAAAGGCUAUUUCUCAUUUAUUUUAUUCAAAAAUAAAUAUUUUGCAUAGUAUGCUGAAGAGCAAAAGUUUAUAAUAAACAGAUGUAGAGAUAUUUUAAUCUAAGAAAUCUGAGAGAGAUGUUUGAAAUAUAAAAAUGUUUUAAUAUACCAAAAAUAUUAAUUUUCCCUGAGCAGAUAUGGUAGAAAGAUUUCAGCUAUAGAAUGGGAAAGCACUGUUCUACAGGGCUCUACUGAAACCUAGAGAAGAGCGGCUUCCUGAGUUAAGUGACACAGGUGAAAACACAAAGUUCAGUGGGGCAUCCAAAUCAAAGGAAUAAGGCACAAGAGAAUGAAUACAUUAGCGAUAAAUUGUGGAGAAUUCAAAUUUUAUGUUUUAAGAGAAAUUACUAGUCUUUAGUGCAUUCAGAAUGUGUCUUUAAUGUUUAUGCUAAAUAGCUGUUGUAGUUUGUUGUUUACCAUAGAGAAGUAUUAACCCCCCCCCCCCCCAAAAUCAGUGAAUAUCCUAGACCUAAUUAGAAGGAAGUGAUAUAAACAAGAAUGGCUCAGCCUGGGGUAGAUUAUUGCUUCCAGUUCUUCUCCUUCCCUGUAUCCUUCUCAUAUGACUGCCUGUUUCAUAUGGCUUUACAGUGAAUCUCACCAAAGGCAGAGUGUAUUUCUCUGCUCCACUGAUACCUUACUUGGCCAUGUGACUUGCUUUGACCAAUGGAAUGUAUGUGAAUAUGAAGCAGGCAAAGGCUUGAAAUGUGGAGACUUGGGAAGCAAACCUGAACCAGACCUGCAUCCUGGAGCCAAGCCCUGCCAAGUGCAGUCGUGACUAGGAGACCCACCGCUGCAGACAGGCCUUCCUCACUGCACCGUGGCCUCAGGGCAACUGAAUGACUGAAGACCUCAAGGAUGUGUAUCCCACCUUCAAGAGUGAGUGUUUCAGCCAAGAAGGCAGAUUCUAUGACACCUUUUAUGACUCAACCUUGGAAAGCCAGCAGAAUUGCAUCUGCUAUGUGAUGUUGGUUACAAGUGGAAGAUGGAAGAUAAUGAUGAAGGCACUGCAGUCGGCUGUCAGCAGAUUCAGCUCAGUAUUGCCUCGAGGUUUGGCAUCAAUCCUGUUCUCCCUCAGAGGAUUUUAUGAAGUUCUGGUUCAAUAGCUCAAGUGACUGCUUGCAUCAUAUUACUCUUUCUCUGACUUUUUGAUACAGUUCUGACAAUAACAGCAUCUACCUUGUAUACAGCAACUUACUACAUGCCAAGCACUAUGUGAAGUGUUUUAUUUGUAUUUCAGUUUCCUUCUUGAUGACUCUAGGAUCCACUUAAUUCACUCUUAAGGCAAUGUUACCUAAAAGAAACAUGGUCAGCCAUCACAAUAUAAUUGUAAAAUUACCAUACUCAUGACUAGAAUUUCCUCAAUACCGUAAGAGAUUAUAUACAAUAUGUACAAUUAUGUGUAUAAGAUCUUCCAUCUAUUUAUGUUUUUGUUUUUAUUUUUUUGGCCACACGACAUGGCAUGUGGGAUCUUAGUUCUCCAACCAGGAGUGAGACUCCGUGCUCCCUGCAUUAGAAGCAUGGAGUCUUAGCCACUGGACCACCUGGGAAGUCCCCUAUCUAUCUUUUUAAAGGCAAUAUUAUUAAAAGCCCCUUUCCCUCCUAUCCACUUUUCUAGUAUCACCAUAUCUCUAGUCUCUCUCGUCUCCAAAAUCCUGAAAAUUUCUUCUCUUACCUUUGUCCUAGCAUAGGCACAUCUUAGUUAUAUUCCUCCUGAUCUUCUAUCCCAAUUCUGCAUCACAAAAGCUCUAGGGACAGCUAUGACAAUAACAGGCAUUCCUUGGAAGAUAUGGGAGCAAAAUGACCUAGAGGCCACUGGCAGAAUCUCCUUUAGCAGAUGAAGAAGGGACAGGCAUUCUCAGGAUGAUAAAUUGCUCCUCACGUGAGCAUUGCCUUUCUCAAUCCUGACACCAGCUCUGGGCUUGGUUCUAUUCUUAUCUCUGUUUUCAGAUGAGUAAAAUGAGGCUUAGAGAAAUUAAAGAGCAAGGAAGUAGCAGACUCUGAACUUGAAUGUAGGCCAUCUUAUUCCAAAGCCUACACCCUUCAUCACUGCCCACAUGGAAAUUUAAUGUGGCUGGUAUGUUUGCCAUUAUUCUUGGCCACCCAUCAUUUGAAUGUCCUUGCAUCUGAGAAUACUCCACAUUAUUUUGCUGAGUUCAUGUGCUGUGAUAGAAGGUGGCAGUGCCUAUAUCCACUUUUGCAGCAUCCCUUUCAGCUAGGGCAUGGCACAUGCACUUGGCUCUGCCAGUCCUAUGCCACUGCCUGCCCUCUACUUCCAACCCCAUCAAUGCCCCUAAAGUCACACAGAUGUUGCUUUAGAAGCUAAUGACAUAAAGAAGCAGAAGCCAUAUAUAACACACUCUGGGGACAGUGGCAGCUGCAUAUUUUAUCUGCAGCUGGUAGUGUCUGAGGCACAAGCAGUGCUUGGCAUCAUCCCUGGAUCAGGUUUACCUUGUGGUUUGGCAGGUGGCCCUGUCUGAAUGUCCCCAAGCCUGCUUCUCUGGCUUACCCAGACAUUCUGUGAGUCAUCCAACACCACUGUAAUGAAUCCUCUUUCUGCCUAAUUUAGCUAGAUAUAGUUUCUAUUGCUUGUAAAGAUGAACUCAAACUGAUUUGAGUGCCAAUGGAGCGUUUUUGUUUGUUUCCAUCAAGCUACAUUAGUCUCCAAUUUCUUCCAAGAACAUUCCUUGCCUUAUCUUCCAAAGAACUUCUCUCUCACACUUGUUCCCAGGAACUAAAAUUAUGUCUAUAAGGUUUCAACAUGUGACCGAACCUGGCUUGACACUUGCUACUAGACCAACUAAGGUCGCUGCUUUCCCGACAUCGCCUGGUCCUCACUCCCAUGCAUCAAGUGCCCACUGCAGAUACAACUGUAAAGAUACAGAAUACGAAAGAGUGCAAAACCCAGAGCUCACUGUCAGGAACAGAGAGCUUGGUCCUGUCAAUGAGACACAUGCACCGACUGAAUUCUGUAGCAUCCCCUUCCUCUGCUAUCUCCUUUCCAAUUUUCUUUUCAUAGAUUUUGAAUGUGCCAAACCAUAAAUCCCACUUGAUGUUUUUUAUAUUACAAUCACGGUGAAAAUAUUUAUGAGAGAGUCAAGACACUUUUGGUGACAGUGACUGAAAUCUGGCUCAUGCCAACUUAGGAAUUCUGUGACUCCUGAGGAUGAAUAUGGCUUCAGGCAUGGCUAAAUCCAGGUGCUCCAACUGUAUAACCAGGGCUUGGGCUUCCCUGGUGACUCAGACAGUAAAGAGUCCGCCUGCAAUG
Molecule: long non-coding RNA, 5919 nt
Organism: Bubalus bubalis (water buffalo)
Lineage: Eukaryota; Metazoa; Chordata; Mammalia; Artiodactyla; Bovidae
Exons: 3
Source: RefSeq, a predicted model, not a curated record